AAGAACAGCUCAGAUAUAACAGCUCAGACUCCAUAUGGCCGUCAUGCCCAUGGUCAGUGGAUGCUAUUGUCUGUUUCUGCUAGAGGCCACUUCCUCAGCCGUCAUUUACUGACUCAACACAGACUCUGAGUGGGUUCAGCUGCUGGUCCUCUGCCUGUGUGUCUGUGCCGUGAUUAGGCCCAUGUGUGCGCCCUGCCUGGACCGUUGGCCUCCUGGACGUGACUCCAUUUCCCAGAGCGCUUCACCGUGAGGCAGAGGCCAUUCAUCAUGUCAGCGAGAAGGCCUUCACAUGGAGCGAAACAUCAGUGGUACUCCGGCGGACGAGGAGCCUAUGACUCAAACCCCACAUGGCGCUGGCCUGGCCAGACUUUCCCCAACUAAUGAGCCUAACAUGUGUUUCUACCUCCGACUGCUUCCAUUUUCUCUGUGGAGCCAAUAAAUCCUAGAAAUGUCUCAUUUAAGGCCAA
This is a long non-coding RNA of Poecilia latipinna (sailfin molly), 467 nucleotides long. RefSeq lists it as uncharacterized. The record is from RefSeq and is a predicted model, not a curated record. Lineage: Eukaryota; Metazoa; Chordata; Actinopteri; Cyprinodontiformes; Poeciliidae. The transcript has 2 exons.